Molecule: long non-coding RNA, 1527 nt
Organism: Chelonia mydas (Green sea turtle)
Lineage: Eukaryota; Metazoa; Chordata; Testudines; Cheloniidae
Exons: 3
Source: RefSeq, a predicted model, not a curated record
AGUCACUCCCUGACUAGUAAGGGAGGAGGACUAGCUCCUGAGCUAAGGAGCAGCAUUUUGGACAGAGAGGUGCUGGGAAGGCUUGGGAGAGCAGAGCGGCCCGGCCCAACUCUGGCCCAGAUACUUGCCAGGCUGCAGCCCUUGCUAAGAGGGGUUGAGAAGGUGCAUAGGGCCAAAGGGGAAGUGGCCCAGGGAAAUAGGCAGGGGAAAGAAGGAGGCUGCUGCUAGAGGGUCCCUGGGUUGGGACCCAGAGUAGUGGGUGGGCCUGGGUCCCCCUUUUCUCCCCCGCCCUUUGUACUGGCCAUGGAGGAGGGAGGCCGAGACAGAUUGUGGCCUGACCCUGAGACAAGAGGCUAGACUCUAGGGUUGUGGUUGGCCACUAAGGCAGGGACAAACAGAAGAACUGCUGUUAACAAUGCACCCCCCUGGAAGGGGGAGAGACCAGAGUGGUGGGCACUGCUGGAGGGCAGUGUCCUGAAGUGGAUGCAGAGUGUCCUGUAGAGGAUGCCGUCGGGCAGGGAGCAAUGCAGGUCCCAGGACAGUGGAGCAGAGACAACGGGUGAGCUACCAUGCAUCGAGGAUGCCCUGCAGCGGUCAAGAGCUAAUUCUCAGAGUGAGCAGUGGGAGGCGUCAGCAGUGAGCUUAGCACAAUGGGGUCCUGUUCCAUCACCGGAAAUCUUUCAACUUGCUGGUGUGGUUUGACUCCUGUGGCACCUGCUCGUGGAUCUUGGUCCGUGCCUUGCCAUAGUCCCAGGCUCCUUCAGACAGGGCAGUCAUAUGGUUGGUGCAGCUGAACCCCACAACAAUUCUUGGCUGCAGUCACUCAGUUACCUCACUUGCCAGAGGAUCAUAGGUCUCCUUCACAGUCUCCCUUGGCUGGGACACAGAAUGUACUCCCUGGUGGCUGCCUUGGCUGGCAGGCUAGUGAUGCUUCCUAUCACGUAGGGCGGUAGCUAGCUCCUGACUUUCCCCAGUUAGCCCUAAACUGAGCCAGGCGCUCUCAUUUCCUCUCCCGUCCAGGCCUGGCACUGGCUGCAGGUAUAAUGGGGGGGAGAUAGCUGGGACCAAAGUCUCUCCUUAACCCCAGCCAUGCUAUUGGCCAGUUUCUCUGCUUCAUCACACUGUUAUUAUGAAUUAUUAGUAGUGUGGUAGAACUGAGGAGCCCCGCCAUGAAUGCUAUUGUGAAAGGUACUGUAUAGACACAGAAUAAAAAGCCAGUCCCAUACAAAUUUCUUUUGAACUGACUACUUUGAAAAACUGUAGCCUUAGCAGACAUUUUUAAUUUUUUCAUAUUUUGGACUGCAUUUUUUACAAGUUGAAGCAAGAUGGAUAUGGUUUCCCUCCACACUUCUGCCAUGGGGCCUUUUCCUCUGCUAGCAAUAUCCCUUUCAUUCCAUAAGGACCCCCUGUGUGUGCAGUGUUUUCUUUCUGAUGUGGACUAACAUCCAUUACACACUAGACCGAGAAUCUAUUUCGUUUGUGAUAUAAAUCAUAAACUUCAUAGAUUGCAAUAAAGCAUUUGACAGU